RNAcentral lists this transfer RNA (73 nucleotides) under Sorangium cellulosum. Its description in RNAcentral is "tRNA-Arg". It matches the Rfam family "tRNA". From Rfam's summary of the family: Transfer RNA (tRNA) molecules are approximately 80 nucleotides in length. RNAcentral also lists the same sequence under 6 other names. Lineage: Bacteria; Pseudomonadati; Myxococcota; Polyangiales; Polyangiaceae. The record is from RNAcentral.
GCCCCCGUAGCUCAGUGGAUAGAGCAGCGGUUUCCUAAACCGUUGGUCGGACGUUCGAGUCGUCUCGGGGGCG